Molecule: long non-coding RNA, 519 nt
Filed under: Ananas comosus (pineapple)
Lineage: Eukaryota; Viridiplantae; Streptophyta; Magnoliopsida; Poales; Bromeliaceae
Description: long non-coding RNA (ACOM_LNC014574)
Source: RNAcentral
UAUUUUUCUAUAUUAAGGCUACAUUUGGCUGGAGAAUUAAAUUUUGUAGAACAAUUUUUGUUGUUUUCGAGAACAGAGGAUAUUUCGCUAUAAAGUAGAGCAAGUUGUAAAUUACGUUUGAAUGUUGUUUGUUUAUUCCUAGAAAAUAUUCUUGAUAGUGUUUGGAUGUUUAUAUUAGAAUAAAGGGUUGGAAAGGUAAAAAUUAAAUAAAAUAACAAAUUUGCCCUUAAAUAUAAUAAUCAAAUAUGAUUUAAUAAAUUAAGUAUUAAAAUAAAUUAAUUUACAAAUUAAGUAUAUUUGUAUAUUAUUUUGAAAAUAUUAAUUUAGUAGUAUUCAAUUUAAAUAUUUAUUUAUUUUUUUUCGAAACUAAUUUAAAAUAUAAAUAUCUAAAAUGGAAUAGCACUUAUUAAAUUAAAUUAAUCAUUCAAUCGAUUUCUUUUAAUUUACUAAAUUAAAUAUUAAUAAGUCAAAAUAGUGCGGCUCUUAUAAAUAAAAGAAAUUUCAAAAAAAAAAAUCCCU